This 300-nucleotide ribosomal RNA is filed under the name uncultured Howardella sp. RNAcentral's name for it is "bacterial SSU rRNA". It matches the Rfam family "Bacterial small subunit ribosomal RNA", at positions 496 to 795 of the family's 1533-position model. The record is from RNAcentral. Lineage: Bacteria; Bacillati; Bacillota; Clostridia; Eubacteriales.
GGUAACGCCGUGCGAGAGUGUGGGGUAAGACGGAGGGGGCAAGCGGUAUCGGGGUGUGUUGGGGUUGAAGGGUCCGUAGGGGGACUUAUAAGUCAGGGGUGAAAGCCUGUCGCGUAACGGUAGAACUGCCAUUGAUACUGUAGGUGUUGAGUAUAUUUGAGGUAGGUGGAAUAAGUAGUGUAGCGGGGAAAUGCAUAGAUAUUACUUAGAACGCCAAUUGCGAAGGCAGGUUACCAAGAUAUAACUGACGCUGAGGGACGAAAGCGUGGGGAGCGAACAGGAUUAGAUACCCUUGUAGUC